This 2932-nucleotide ribosomal RNA is filed under the name Enterobacter cloacae. RNAcentral describes it as "bacterial LSU rRNA". It matches the Rfam family "Bacterial large subunit ribosomal RNA". Lineage: Bacteria; Pseudomonadati; Pseudomonadota; Gammaproteobacteria; Enterobacterales; Enterobacteriaceae. The record is from RNAcentral.
GGGUUGUGAGGUUAAGCGACUAAGCGUACACGGUGGAUGCCCUGGCAGUCAGAGGCGAUGAAGGACGUGCUAAUCUGCGAAAAGCGCCGGCGAGGUGAUAUGAACCCUUGACCCGGCGAUGUCCGAAUGGGGAAACCCAGUGCAAUCCGUUGCACUAUCGUUAACUGAAUACAUAGGUUAACGAGGCGAACCGGGGGAACUGAAACAUCUAAGUACCCCGAGGAAAAGAAAUCAACCGAGAUUCCCCCAGUAGCGGCGAGCGAACGGGGAGCAGCCCGGAGUCUGAAUCAGCUUGUGUGUUAGUGGAACGGUCUGGAAAGUCCGACGGUACAGGGUGAUAGUCCCGUACACGAAAGCACACAUGCUGUGAACUCGAAGAGUAGGGCGGGACACGUGGUAUCCUGUCUGAAUAUGGGGGGACCAUCCUCCAAGGCUAAAUACUCCUGACUGACCGAUAGUGAACCAGUACCGUGAGGGAAAGGCGAAAAGAACCCCGGCGAGGGGAGUGAAAAAGAACCUGAAACCGUGUACGUACAAGCAGUGGGAGCCUCUUUAUGGGGUGACUGCGUACCUUUUGUAUAAUGGGUCAGCGACUUAUAUUCUGUAGCAAGGUUAACCGUAUAGGGGAGCCGAAGGGAAACCGAGUCUUAACUGGGCGUUAAGUUGCAGGGUAUAGACCCGAAACCCGGUGAUCUAGCCAUGGGCAGGUUGAAGGUUGGGUAACACUAACUGGAGGACCGAACCGACUAAUGUUGAAAAAUUAGCGGAUGACCUGUGGCUGGGGGUGAAAGGCCAAUCAAACCGGGAGAUAGCUGGUUCUCCCCGAAAGCUAUUUAGGUAGCGCCUCGUGAACUCAUCUUCGGGGGUAGAGCACUGUUUCGGCUAGGGGGCCAUCCCGGCUUACCAACCCGAUGCAAACUACGAAUACCGAAGAAUGUUAUCACGGGAGACACACGGCGGGUGCUAACGUCCGUCGUGAAGAGGGAAACAACCCAGACCGCCAGCUAAGGUCCCAAAGUCAUGGUUAAGUGGGAAACGAUGUGGGAAGGCACAGACAGCCAGGAUGUUGGCUUAGAAGCAGCCAUCAUUUAAAGAAAGCGUAAUAGCUCACUGGUCGAGUCGGCCUGCGCGGAAGAUGUAACGGGGCUAAACCAUGCACCGAAGCUGCGGCAGCGACACUUAUGUGUUGUUGGGUAGGGGAGCGUUCUGUAAGCCGUUGAAGGUGUGCUGUGAGGCAUGCUGGAGGUAUCAGAAGUGCGAAUGCUGACAUAAGUAACGAUAAAGCGGGUGAAAAGCCCGCUCGCCGGAAGACCAAGGGUUCCUGUCCAACGUUAAUCGGGGCAGGGUGAGUCGACCCCUAAGGCGAGGCCGAAAGGCGUAGUCGAUGGGAAACAGGUUAAUAUUCCUGUACUUGGUGUUACUGCGAAGGGGGGACGGAGAAGGCUAUGUCAGCCGGGCGACGGUUGUCCCGGUUUAAGCAUGUAGGCGGAGGUUCCAGGUAAAUCCGGUACCUUUUAACGCUGAGGUGUGAUGACGAGGCACUACGGUGCUGAAGUGAUAAAUGCCCUGCUUCCAGGAAAAGCCUCUAAGCAUCAGGUAACACGAAAUCGUACCCCAAACCGACACAGGUGGUCAGGUAGAGAAUACCAAGGCGCUUGAGAGAACUCGGGUGAAGGAACUAGGCAAAAUGGUGCCGUAACUUCGGGAGAAGGCACGCUGAUGUGUAGGUGAAGCCCCUGCGGGUGGAGCUGAAAUCAGUCGAAGAUACCAGCUGGCUGCAACUGUUUAUUAAAAACACAGCACUGUGCAAACACGAAAGUGGACGUAUACGGUGUGACGCCUGCCCGGUGCCGGAAGGUUAAUUGAUGGGGUUAGCGGCAACGCGAAGCUCUUGAUCGAAGCCCCGGUAAACGGCGGCCGUAACUAUAACGGUCCUAAGGUAGCGAAAUUCCUUGUCGGGUAAGUUCCGACCUGCACGAAUGGCGUAAUGAUGGCCAGGCUGUCUCCACCCGAGACUCAGUGAAAUUGAACUCGCUGUGAAGAUGCAGUGUACCCGCGGCAAGACGGAAAGACCCCGUGAACCUUUACUAUAGCUUGACACUGAACACUGGUCCUUGAUGUGUAGGAUAGGUGGGAGGCUUUGAAGCGUGGACGCCAGUCUGCGUGGAGCCGCCCUUGAAAUACCACCCUUUAAUGGCUGGUGUUCUAACGUGGACCCGUAAUCCGGGUUGCGGACAGUGUCUGGUGGGUAGUUUGACUGGGGCGGUCUCCUCCCAAAGAGUAACGGAGGAGCACGAAGGUUGGCUAAUCCUGGUCGGACAUCAGGAGGUUAGUGCAAUGGCAUAAGCCAGCUUGACUGCGAGCGUGACGGCGCGAGCAGGUGCGAAAGCAGGUCAUAGUGAUCCGGUGGUUCUGAAUGGAAGGGCCAUCGCUCAACGGAUAAAAGGUACUCCGGGGAUAACAGGCUGAUACCGCCCAAGAGUUCAUAUCGACGGCGGUGUUUGGCACCUCGAUGUCGGCUCAUCACAUCCUGGGGCUGAAGUAGGUCCCAAGGGUAUGGCUGUUCGCCAUUUAAAGUGGUACGCGAGCUGGGUUUAGAACGUCGUGAGACAGUUCGGUCCCUAUCUGCCGUGGGCGCUGGAGAAUUGAGGGGGGCUGCUCCUAGUACGAGAGGACCGGAGUGGACGCAUCACUGGUGUUCGGGUUGUCAUGCCAAUGGCACUGCCCGGUAGCUAAAUGCGGAAGAGAUAAGUGCUGAAAGCAUCUAAGCACGAAACUUGCCCCGAGAUGAGUUCUCCCUGAGACUUUAAGUCUCCUGAAGGAACGUUGAAGACGACGACGUUGAUAGGUCGGGUGUGUAAGCGCAGCGAUGCGUUGAGCUAACCGAUACUAAUGAACCGUGAGGCUUAACCUUACAACGCCGAAGGUGUUU